Molecule: ribosomal RNA, 946 nt
Filed under: Lentinula edodes (shiitake mushroom)
Lineage: Eukaryota; Fungi; Basidiomycota; Agaricomycetes; Agaricales; Omphalotaceae
Description: LSU rRNA
Rfam family: Eukaryotic large subunit ribosomal RNA
Source: RNAcentral
GCAUAUCAAUAAGCGUAUGUAAAUAGAAACUAAACAAGGAUUCCCCUAGUAACUGCGAGUGAAGAGGGAAAAGCUCAAAUUUAAAAUCUGGCAGUCUCUGAUUGUCCGAGUUGUAAUUUAGAGAAGUGUUACCCGUGUUGGACCGUGUACAAGUCUCCUGGAAUGGAGCGUCAUAGAGGGUGAGAAUCCCGUCUUUGAUACGGAUCCCAAUACAUUGUGGUACACUCUCGAAGAGUCGAGUUGUUUGGGAAUGCAGCUCUAAAUGGGUGGUAAAUUCCAUCUAAAGCUAAAUAUUGGGGAGAGACCGAUAGCGAACAAGUACCGUGAGGGAAAGAUGAAAAGAACUUUGGAAAGAGAGUUAAACAGUACGUGAAAUUGCUGAAAGGGAAACGCUUGAAGUCAGUCGCGUUGGUCGGGGAUCAGCCUUCCUUAUGGUUGGUGCAUUUCCUGAUCAACGGGUCAACAUCAGUUUUGAUCAAUGGAUAAAAGUUUGAGGGAUGUGGCAUCUUCGGGUGUGUUAUAACCUCUUGCUAUAUACAUUGAUUGGGACUGAGGAACUCAGCACGCCGCAAGGCCGGGUUUUUAACCACGUUCGUGCUUAGGAUGUUGGCAUAAUGGCUUUAAUCGACCCGUCUUGAAACACGGACCAAGGAGUCUAACAUGCCUGCGAGUGUUUGGGUGGAAAACCCGAGCGCGCAAUGAAAGUGAAAGUUAGGAUCUCUGUCGUGGAGAGCACUGACGCCCGGCCCAGACCUUUUGUGACGGUGCCGCGGUUGAGCAUGUAUGUUGGGACCCCGAAAGAUGGUGAACUAUGCCUGAAUAGGGGUGAAGCCAGAGGAAACUCUGGUGGAGGCUCGUAGCGAUUCUGACGUGCAAAUCGAUCGUCGAAUUUGGGUAUAGGGGGCGAAAGACUAAUCGAAACCAUCUAGUAGCUGGGUUCUGCGAG